This is a non-coding RNA of Caenorhabditis brenneri, 76 nucleotides long. The record is from Rfam. NCBI's taxonomy places the organism in Eukaryota, Metazoa, Nematoda, Chromadorea, Rhabditida, Rhabditidae.
GUAACAUCUGAGGUAGUUUGGAAAUGCUGUCGACGCAUUGUGAUGUCAACAACAUUUCAACUAACUCGGCUGUUUC